GACGAACCGUGCGAACGUUGUUCGGAAUCACUGGGCUUAAAGGGCGCGUAGGCGGCAGAUCAAGUCCGGGGUGAAAGCCUCCAGCUCAACUGGAGAAGUGCCUUGGAUACUGAUUUGCUCGAGGGAGGUAGGGGUCGAGGGAACUUCCGGUGGAGCGGUGAAAUGCGUUGAUAUCGGAAGGAACGCCGGUGGCGAAAGCGCUCGACUGGAUCUCUUCUGACGCUGAGGCGCGAAAGCUAGGGGAGCAAACGGG
RNAcentral lists this ribosomal RNA (253 nucleotides) under uncultured bacterium. Its description in RNAcentral is "partial 16S ribosomal RNA". It matches the Rfam family "Bacterial small subunit ribosomal RNA", at positions 524 to 776 of the family's 1533-position model. The record is from RNAcentral.